RNAcentral lists this non-coding RNA (98 nucleotides) under Shouchella lehensis G1. Its description in RNAcentral is "Bacillus lehensis G1 TPP riboswitch aptamer (THI element)". It matches the Rfam family "TPP riboswitch aptamer (THI element)". From Rfam's summary of the family: Vitamin B(1) in its active form thiamin pyrophosphate (TPP) is an essential coenzyme that is synthesised by coupling of pyrimidine and thiazole moieties in bacteria. Lineage: Bacteria; Bacillati; Bacillota; Bacilli; Caryophanales; Bacillaceae. The record is from Rfam by way of RNAcentral.
AAAAUCCACUAGGGGUGCGAAAAGCUGAGAGAGGAUAAAUCCUUAACCCUUUACCUGAUCUAGAUAAUGCUAGCGAAGGGAAGUGCGAUAUGUAAACC